ACCCGCACAAGCGGUGGAUGAUGUGGAUUAAUUCGAUGCAACGCGAAGAACCUUACCUACCCUUGACAUGUCCGGAACUUGCCAGAGAUGGCUUGGUGCCCGAAAGGGAAUCGGAACACAGGUGCUGCAUGGCUGUCGUCAGCUCGUGUCGUGAGAUGUUGGGUUAAGUCCCGCAACGAGCGCAACCCUUAUCAUUAGUUGCUACGCAAGGGCACUCUAAUGAGACUGCCGGUGACAAACCGGAGGAAGGUGGGGAUGACGUCAAGUCCUCAUGGCCCUUAUGGGUAGGGCUUCACACGUCAUACAGUGGUCGGUACAGAGGGUUGCCAAGCCGCGAGGCGGAGCCAAUCCCACAAAGCCGAUCGUAGUCCGGAUUGUUCUCUGCAACUCGAGAGCAUGAAGUCGGAAUCGCUAGUAAUCGCAGGUCAGCAUACUGCGGUGAAUACGUUCCCGGGUCUU
Molecule: ribosomal RNA, 459 nt
Filed under: uncultured Thiobacillus sp.
Lineage: Bacteria; Pseudomonadati; Pseudomonadota; Betaproteobacteria; Nitrosomonadales; Thiobacillaceae
Description: bacterial SSU rRNA
Rfam family: Bacterial small subunit ribosomal RNA
Source: RNAcentral